This is a long non-coding RNA of Octopus sinensis (East Asian common octopus), 121 nucleotides long. RefSeq lists it as uncharacterized. The record is from RefSeq and is a predicted model, not a curated record. The transcript has 3 exons. Lineage: Eukaryota; Metazoa; Mollusca; Cephalopoda; Octopoda; Octopodidae.
AAAUUUUUCUGUGGUCUUCAGUCGUUUUGACUGUUUCCUAACAUGUAGAAAUUGCCUGUUAUUGGUAAUUUCUCUUUGUGUUUUAAAUGUUUAUACACACACACACACACACACACACACA